RNAcentral lists this ribosomal RNA (301 nucleotides) under uncultured bacterium. RNAcentral describes it as "partial 16S ribosomal RNA". It matches the Rfam family "Bacterial small subunit ribosomal RNA", at positions 509 to 807 of the family's 1533-position model. The record is from RNAcentral.
CAGUAGCCGCGGUAAUACAGAGGGUGCGAGCGUUAAUCGGAUUUACUGGGCGUAAAGCGUGCGUAGGCGGCUUCUUAAGUCGGAUGUGAAAUCCCUGAGCUUAACUUAGGAAUUGCAUUCGAUACUGGGAAGCUAGAGUAUGGGAGAGGAUGGUAGAAUUCCAGGUGUAGCGGUGAAAUGCGUAGAGAUCUGGAGGAAUACCGAUGGCGAAGGCAGCCAUCUGGCCUAAUACUGACGCUGAGGUACGAAAGCAUGGGGAGCAAACAGGAUUGGAUACCCCGGUAGUCCCUGUCUCUUAUAC